Acanthosepion pharaonis is the source of this 112-nucleotide non-coding RNA. Lineage: Eukaryota; Metazoa; Mollusca; Cephalopoda; Sepiida; Sepiidae. The record is from the annotation of a GenBank genome assembly.
ACGGCUACAUCACGUUUAAAGAUCGUUUCCUUUACGAUCACUGAAGUUAAGCAACGUCGAACCUGUUCAGUACUUAGAUGGGUGACCGCUUGGGAAUACCAGCUGCUGUAAG